This 497-nucleotide ribosomal RNA is filed under the name uncultured bacterium. RNAcentral describes it as "partial 16S ribosomal RNA". It matches the Rfam family "Bacterial small subunit ribosomal RNA", at positions 28 to 507 of the family's 1533-position model. The record is from RNAcentral.
GAUGAACGCUGGCGGCGUGCCUAAUACAUGCAAGUCGAGCGAACAGACGAGGAGCUUGCUCCUCUGACGUUAGCGGCGGACGGGUGAGUAACACGUGGAUAACCUACCUAUAAGACUGGGAUAGCUUCGGGAAACCGGAGCUAAUACCGGAUAAUAUAUUGAACCGCAUGGUUCAAUAGUGAAAGACGGUUUUGCUGUCACUUAUAGAUGGAUCCGCGCCGCAUUAGCUAGUUGGUAAGGUAACGGCUUACCAAGGCAACGAUGCGUAGCCGACCUGAGAGGGUGAUCGGCCACACUGGAACUGAGACACGGUCCAGACUCCUACGGGAGGCAGCAGUAGGGAAUCUUCCGCAAUGGGCGAAAGCCUGACGGAGCAACGCCGCGUGAGUGAUGAAGGUCUUCGGAUCGUAAAACUCUGUUAUUAGGGAAGAACAAAUGUGUAAGUAACUAUGCACGUCUUGACGGUACCUAAUCAGGAAGCCACGGCUAACUACGUG